This 497-nucleotide ribosomal RNA is filed under the name uncultured bacterium. RNAcentral describes it as "partial 16S ribosomal RNA". It matches the Rfam family "Bacterial small subunit ribosomal RNA", at positions 28 to 507 of the family's 1533-position model. The record is from RNAcentral.
GAUGAACGCUGGCGGCGUGCCUAAUACAUGCAAGUCGAGCGAACAGACGAGGAGCUUGCUCCUCUGACGUUAGCGGCGGACGGGUGAGUAACACAUGGAUAACCUACCUAUAAGACUGGGAUAACUUCGGGAAACCGGAGCUAAUACCGGAUAAUAUAUUGAACCGCAUGGUUCAAUAGUGAAAGACGGUUUUGCUGUCACUUAUAGAUGGAUCCGCGCCGCAUUAGCUAGUUGGUAAGGUAACGGCUUACCAAGGCAACGAUGCGUAGCCGACCUGAGAGGGUGAUCGGCCACACUGGAACUGAGACACGGUCCAGACUCCUACGGGAGGCAGCAGUAGGGAAUCUUCCGCAAUGGGCGAAAGCCUGACGGAGCAACGCCGCGUGAGUGAUGAAGGCCUUCGGAUCGUAAAACUCUGUUAUUAGGGAAGAACAAAUGUGUAAGUAACUAUGCACGUCUUGACGGUACCUAAUCAGAAAGCCACGGCUAACUACGUG